RNAcentral lists this small nuclear RNA (139 nucleotides) under Fukomys damarensis (Damara mole-rat). RNAcentral describes it as "U2 spliceosomal RNA". It matches the Rfam family "U2 spliceosomal RNA". From Rfam's summary of the family: U2 is a small nuclear RNA (snRNA) component of the spliceosome (involved in pre-mRNA splicing). Complementary binding between U2 snRNA (in an area lying towards the 5' end but 3' to hairpin I) and the branchpoint sequence (BPS) of the intron results the bulging out of an unpaired adenosine, on the BPS, which initiates a nucleophilic attack at the intronic 5' splice site, thus starting the first of two transesterification reactions that mediate splicing. The record is from Rfam by way of RNAcentral. Lineage: Eukaryota; Metazoa; Chordata; Mammalia; Rodentia; Bathyergidae.
AUCGCUUCUCGGCCUUUUGGCUAAGAUCAAGUGUAAAACUUUUAGGAUCUCUUUAUUCUUGUAAUUCUGAAAAUUACUUGUUUAUUAAUAUCCAGGGUCUUGUAUCAUAUAGCUUAGUGUAUGAUACAGAAUUAGACAG